GGGGGGGGGGGGGCUAUACAUGCAAGUCGAGCGAAUGGAUUAAGAGCUUGCUCUUAUGAAGUUAGCGGCGGACGGGUGAGUAACACGUGGGUAACCUGCCCAUAAGACUGGGAUAACUCCGGGAAACCGGGGCUAAUACCGGAUAACAUUUUGAACCGCAUGGUUCGAAAUUGAAAGGCGGCUUCGGCUGUCACUUAUGGAUGGACCCGCGUCGCAUUAGCUAGUUGGUGAGGUAACGGCUCACCAAGGCAACGAUGCGUAGCCGACCUGAGAGGGUGAUCGGCCACACUGGGACUGAGACACGGCCCAGACUCCUACGGGAGGCAGCAGUAGGGAAUCUUCCGCAAUGGACGAAAGUCUGACGGAGCAACGCCGCGUGAGUGAUGAAGGCUUUCGGGUCGUAAAACUCUGUUGUUAGGGAAGAACAAGUGCUAGUUGAAUAAGCUGGCACCUUGACGGUACCUAACCAGAAAGCCACGGCUAACUACGUGCCAGCAGCCGCGGUAAUACGUAGGUGGCAAGCGUUAUCCGGAAUUAUUGGGCGUAAAGCGCGCGCAGGUGGUUUCUUAAGUCUGAUGUGAAAGCCCACGGCUCAACCGUGGAGGGUCAUUGGAAACUGGGAGACUUGAGUGCAGAAGAGGAAAGUGGAAUUCCAUGUGUAGCGGUGAAAUGCGUAGAGAUAUGGAGGAACACCAGUGGCGAAGGCGACUUUCUGGUCUGUAACUGACACUGAGGCGCGAAAGCGUGGGGAGCAAACAG
This 759-nucleotide ribosomal RNA is filed under the name Bacillus subtilis. RNAcentral describes it as "bacterial SSU rRNA". It matches the Rfam family "Bacterial small subunit ribosomal RNA", at positions 38 to 775 of the family's 1533-position model. Lineage: Bacteria; Bacillati; Bacillota; Bacilli; Caryophanales; Bacillaceae. The record is from RNAcentral.